Podarcis raffonei (Aeolian wall lizard) is the source of this 275-nucleotide long non-coding RNA. RefSeq lists it as uncharacterized. The transcript has 3 exons. The record is from RefSeq and is a predicted model, not a curated record. NCBI's taxonomy places the organism in Eukaryota, Metazoa, Chordata, Lepidosauria, Squamata, Lacertidae.
UUGGGGGGAAACGCCGACAAAUAGUUUCAUUUCUCUCUUUCUCUCUCCCCUUCUCUCUCUCGCGUGCUGUGUCUCUGUGUAAAAUUUUCCCGAUACCUCAUUGCCUGGUGCCUUUCCUUAUCCAGGCGACUGCAGCGCAAGGAGGUAUAUGAGAGGGUCUAAUUGGACACGUCCUGAAAUCACUAUGCUAAAUGGCAUCCAGGCGGAUUUUUGCUGAAUUGGCAAAAUGUCCAGGAAAACCCGGAAGUAUGGCAAGUAGAGUUAUUUUUUUUAAC